This 250-nucleotide ribosomal RNA is filed under the name uncultured bacterium. Its description in RNAcentral is "partial 16S ribosomal RNA". It matches the Rfam family "Bacterial small subunit ribosomal RNA", at positions 28 to 261 of the family's 1533-position model. The record is from RNAcentral.
GAUAAACGCUGGCGGCGUGCAUAACACAUGCAAGUCGAACGAUGAAGAUUAAAUGAUUUCUUCGGAAUGAACUUAAUUGGAUUAGUGGCGGACGGGUGAGUAACGCGUGAGUAACCUGCCUUGUACAAGGGGAUAGCCGUUGGAAACGACGAAUAAUACCCUAUGACAUCAAAUAAUCGCAUGAUAAUUUGAUCAAAGAUUUAUCGGUAUAAGAUGGACUCGCGUCUGAUUAGCUAGUUGGUGAGGUAAC